RNAcentral lists this ribosomal RNA (1168 nucleotides) under uncultured Francisella sp. Its description in RNAcentral is "bacterial SSU rRNA". It matches the Rfam family "Bacterial small subunit ribosomal RNA", at positions 127 to 1293 of the family's 1533-position model. The record is from RNAcentral. Lineage: Bacteria; Pseudomonadati; Pseudomonadota; Gammaproteobacteria; Thiotrichales; Francisellaceae.
UGCCCAUUUGAGGGGGAUACCAGUUGGAAACGACUGUUAAUACCGCAUAAUAUCUGUGGAUUAAAGGUGGCCUUUGUGCUGCCGCAGAUGGAUGAGCCUGCGUUAGAUUAGCUUGUUGGUGGGGUAAGAGCCUACCAAGGCCGCGAUCUAUAGCUGAUUUGAGAGGAUGAUCAGCCACAUUGGAACUGAGACACGGUCCAAACUCCUACGGGAGGCAGCAGUGGGGAAUAUUGGACAAUGGGCGAAAGCCUGAUCCAGCAAUACCAUGUGUGUGAAGAAGGCUCUAGGGUUGUAAAGCACUUUAGUUGGGGAGGAAAGCUUGUGAGUUAAUAGCUCAUAGGAAGGACGUUACCCAAAGAAUAAGGACCGGCUAACUCCGUGCCAGCAGCCGCGGUAAUACGGGGGGUCCGAGCGUUAAUCGGAAUUACUGGGCGUAAAGGGUCUGUAGGUGGUUUGUUAAGUCAGAUGUGAAAGCCCAGGGCUCAACCUUGGAACUGCAUUUGAUACUGGCAAACUAGAGUAUAGUAGAGGAAUGGGGAAUUUCUGGUGUAGCGGUGAAAUGCGUAGAGAUCAGAAGGAACACCAAUGGCGAAGGCAACAUUCUGGACUAAUACUGACACUGAGGGACGAAAGCGUGGGGAUCAAACAGGAUUAGAUACCCUGGUAGUCCACGCUGUAAACGAUGAGUACUAGCUGUUGGAUUCGGUGUAAAGGAUCUAGUGGCGUAGCUAACGCGUUAAGUACUCCGCCUGGGGACUACGGCCGCAAGGCUAAAACUCAAAGGAAUUGACGGGGACCCGCACAAGCGGUGGAGCAUGUGGUUUAAUUCGAUGCAACGCGAAGAACCUUACCUGGUCUUGACAUCCUGCGAACUUUCUAGAGAUAGAUUGGUGCCUUCGGGAACGCAGUGACAGGUGCUGCACGGCUGUCGUCAGCUCGUGUUGUGAAAUGUUGGGUUAAGUCCCGCAACGAGCGCAACCCCUAUUGAUAGUUACCAUCAUUAAGUUGGGUACUCUAUUGAGACUGCCGCUGACAAGGCGGAGGAAGGUGGGGACGACGUCAAGUCAUCAUGGCCCUUACGACCAGGGCUACACACGUGCUACAAUGGGUAUUACAGAGGGCUGCGAAAUAGCGAUAUGGAGCGAAACUCAAAAAGGUACUCUUAGUC